RNAcentral lists this ribosomal RNA (254 nucleotides) under uncultured bacterium. Its description in RNAcentral is "partial 16S ribosomal RNA". It matches the Rfam family "Bacterial small subunit ribosomal RNA", at positions 523 to 776 of the family's 1533-position model. The record is from RNAcentral.
GUACGGGGGGGGCAAGCGUUGUUCGGAAUUACUGGGCGUAAAGGGCGCGUAGGCGGCCUGCUAAGUCGGAUGUGAAAUCCCUCGGCUCAACCGAGGAACUGCAUCCGAUACUGGCGGGCUUGAAUCCGGGAGAGGGAUGUGGAAUUCCAGGUGUAGCGGUGGAAUGCGUAGAGAUCCGGAGGAAGACCGGUGGCGAAGGCGGCCUGCUGGGCAGUUUCUGACACUGAUGCGCGACAGCGUGGGGAGCAAACAGG